Molecule: long non-coding RNA, 2035 nt
Filed under: Lactuca sativa (garden lettuce)
Lineage: Eukaryota; Viridiplantae; Streptophyta; Magnoliopsida; Asterales; Asteraceae
Description: long non-coding RNA (LSAT_LNC001674)
Source: RNAcentral
UAGUCAAGUCGAUAAAUCGAGUGCGGUGUAUAAAAAAAAUUGUACAAUUAAGAAUGCACAAUCAAUCAUAUACUCGCAUAUUUAUAAGAGCAUACAAUAUGCUAACCCAUAACACCAUUAUAACAUCAAAUACACUACUAUAACACCGUUACAACAUCAAAAACACUGCUAGUAUAUACAUAAAACACAACUUAGUGAGCCAACAUUGAUAUCUUUGAUCCACGACUCCUGUGAAAAAAACUCACUACAAGCUCAAAAGAUAACCGAACUAAUCAAUGCUCCAAAUUGCAGCGGCACUACAAUCCUCAACAACAGAAUCUUCAUUCUACAAAGUGCACCUAAAUAUCACACAAAUGCCUCAAAAACCACUCGAGGGAAUUAGGGUUUUGAAAGGUGGGUAUGAAGGGGCAGGGCCACAGGGGUUGAUGGUAAAAAGGCCCGCAAAUGCUUCAAAAAAACUUCAACAUGUCAUGUUACAAGUAAUAAGCCUUAUGAAAUUUCUAAUAAACAUUCAAGCUUUUACAACAAAAUGUAUCAUCACUAUAAUAAAUAAUUUUUUUUAAUUUUUUUUGGCAUUUAUCACAUUAUCAUGCUGUUUAUGGUUAAUUUUUAAAAAUUAAUUUUCACAAGAUAAUUUUUAAAUUUCUUAAUUAACUAUCUAAACGUUUAGGUUAUAAAAAAAUACAUAAUAUGUCAUUCAUGUUUACUAUAUUUUCAAAUUUUAUUACGUUUCCUUCAAAAUCCAGAAUUCAAAAUUGAUAUUUUCUUUCAAUUUUCAUUGUCAUUUUAAACCAACACUAGUUUACAUAUGAAAAAUGAUCAAAAUAUUUUAUUGAUAAAACUAAAAAAGUAACGUAUGAAAAAUCAACAAAAUAUUUGAUCGAUAAAACUAAAAAAAUAAUUAAACCACAAAUAUGGUCAAAAUAUAAUUAUUUCUCCAUAGUUUUUUUUAUUAAUAUAAAUAUUUAUUUAUUCAUCAAUUUGUUUGAAUUUAUUUUGAAAACCCCUGGGGUUUUAAAGCUUGACCCUCUCGAUCUUGAUAUUUUUAGGAAAUUUAAGCUCAGAUAAAUGUAUUAAACUAAAUAGAACUGUGAAAAUCAAACGAAAAAUUAAAAUAGUUUUUGAGCGAUAUUGAAGGGUAUCUCUCAGACAAAUGCCUCGGUUGGUCUUCAUGAUGAAUGGAAUGGAUAUAUCAGACUCGUCAUCUAUGAAAUCAUCACUGAGAAACCCACAAUAAAUAUAAAUAAAUUAAAACUUCAGACAUCCAAGGAAGGAAAAAAGCAGCAUUAACUCUCAAGCCUGGCGAAGGCGAAAGUUCUUAGGCGGCCACUGCGAAUGUCUCUGAGAAACAAGCCUUUGGAUUAUCAUCAUCAGUUCCAUAAUCAAUUCUAACAAUAAAUAAAAUCAAAACUGCAAAUAACACUAAUUUGGAUUUUAAAGAAAAGCCAGAUCUCCCACCCAUAAAUGAUCAGCAACUUGUAAAACUAGUCAGACUAAUGAAAUCGCUGACAAAGUGAAGAGGGUGAAGUGAAUAUCAGGGGAUAUCAUUCCAUCCCUAAAGCAAUAGAGUAUUUGCAAAAGGGGCAGACGAUCCCCAAUUGAAAAAAUGAAAAAAUAAAGAAAACGAGAUAAAAUAGGAGUUCCCUGGCGAAGGCUAAAGCUCUAUCAGCGGCAACUGCUAAUGUUCAUGAGAAACAAGCCUUAAAUUUUUCAUCAUCGAUAACCAGCAACAGCUAAUCAGCUAUACAUUUUGAUAUGAACUAAAACAUAUGAAUGUUAUAAAAUCAAAGAAGUAAGCUUUGAAACAAUUGUUGAAAUAGGGAUCUAGGGUUUGGUGAGUGUGAUUUGAAGGUAACAAUAGUGGUGUUAUAUAGAUGAGGAAAUGCGAAUUAGGGUUUUUGACAUACCGACGGCAGCGAUCACUUGUUCCGUUUUUCUUUUUUUAUUUGAGUGGAUGGAAUUUUUGGGAAAACUUCAAAAAAAAGUAGUCACAAUAUAAGUGCGAAUCAUAUAAAACUUUUUUUGCCUUUUUUUU